UACGUAGGGUGCGAGCGUUGUCCGGAAUUAUUGGGCGUAAAGAGCUCGUAGGCGGCUUGUCGCGUCGGAUGUGAAAGCCCGGGACUUAACCCCGGGUCUGCAUUCGAUACGGGCAGGCUAGAGUUCGGUAGGGGAGAUCGGAAUUCCUGGUGUAGCGGUGAAAUGCGUAGAUAUCAAGAGGAACACCUGAGGUGAAGACGGGUUGCUGGGCCGACACUGACGCUGAUAGCGCGAAAGCCAGGGGAGCAAACGGG
This 254-nucleotide ribosomal RNA is filed under the name uncultured bacterium. RNAcentral describes it as "partial 16S ribosomal RNA". It matches the Rfam family "Bacterial small subunit ribosomal RNA", at positions 524 to 776 of the family's 1533-position model. The record is from RNAcentral.